UGCGGCUCCGGCAGGAGGUGGUGGUUAGUGUUGCCGCCGCUGCAGCCUUCCCCGGAAAGACCUGGGAAGUGUCACAAGACCAUGUGAGGACACAGUGAGAAGACAGUCAUCCGUAAGCCAGAAAGAGGGUCCUCACCAGAAGUUGAGUCCUUGAUCUUGGACUUCCAGCCUUCAGAACUAAUGUGGAAGAUGACCCUCAAGGGGACUGGAGGAGUCACAUGUUGAGAACGGCACAAGGAAGGAAGGCCCUGAGACACUAAAUCACUGCUUAUACGAGAGUUGCCCACCAAGAACAACAGUUCUGAACUGUUUUAUGAGUAAGAAAUAUUCUUCAUUGUGUUAAGCCACAGAAAUUUCAGUUCAUUUAGUAUAGUAGAAGGUGUUUUUACUAAUUAAUAUAGACAUAUAUGAAGAGAGUUAUACAUAAUUUAUCUUCAUACAGUAAAUAUUUUGAUCUUUUGCCUGUGUGGAAAAAUGUGAAAUUUUCUUCUCUGAGUAUAUACUGACAUCCAUGUUCCCUCAUGCUGAGUUACUGAUCUACUCCUCUCAAUUCCUGCUUUGAGUUAACAAUUCCAAGAACAGGACACAGUGGACUGAAUUUGGUCCACUCUGUCUCUGCCUCUCUCUCACAUGUGUACAUGUACACACACACACACACACACACACACACACACACACACACACACACACGUUUUCUGAAAGACACCUGCCUGAUUGGUCACCAGACUUGCAAUUGACACUCUGCCAUUUUUGUUUCUUUGCCAUUUAAACUCCCUCUUAGUCCCAUUUUCUAAGAAACACUCCUUUUGGUUAUUAUUCCCAUUGUAGUGUCCUGAAUAGCAUAGCCAUCUGUGCUCUUGAGGCCUGGAAAACUUUUGAAACUUAAACACCUGUAAUAAAUAAGACACACAUUUUUUUCUAGCUUAUUUUUUGUCUUUCAAUUUUGUCUGUUGUAUAUUCUGUGUGUGUGUGUGUGUGUAUGUGUGUGUGUGUGUGUAUGUCUUUUUGCUUUUCUUGAGCC
Sus scrofa (pig) is the source of this 1021-nucleotide long non-coding RNA. RefSeq lists it as uncharacterized. The record is from RefSeq and is a predicted model, not a curated record. Lineage: Eukaryota; Metazoa; Chordata; Mammalia; Artiodactyla; Suidae.